UUAAGUUCAGCGGGUAGUCCUACCUGAUUUCAGGCCAAAGUUCGAAUAGUUGUCCGUAAUAGACGAUUAGAAGCAGCACGUUCAGAAGAGGCCUAAGGCGAGGGCGCAGAUAAUUAUCACACCGUGCCAAGCACUCUAACAAGCGCAAGCUAAUGCAUUUCAGGACGAGCCAUUUACGGCACGGUCCAAGUCCACAACCU
Molecule: unclassified non-coding RNA, 200 nt
Filed under: Auriculariales sp.
Lineage: Eukaryota; Fungi; Basidiomycota; Agaricomycetes; Auriculariales
Description: partial internal transcribed spacer 2
Source: RNAcentral